This 580-nucleotide ribosomal RNA is filed under the name Exerodonta juanitae. RNAcentral's name for it is "partial 16S ribosomal RNA". It matches the Rfam family "Bacterial large subunit ribosomal RNA", at positions 1811 to 2602 of the family's 2925-position model. Lineage: Eukaryota; Metazoa; Chordata; Amphibia; Anura; Hylidae. The record is from RNAcentral.
AAACAUCGCCUCUUGACAGAAUAUAAGAGGUCCAGCCUGCCCAGUGACUCUGUUUAACGGCCGCGGUAUCCUAACCGUGCGAAGGUAGCGUAAUCACUUGUUCUUUAAAUGAGGACUAGUAUGAACGGCAUCACGAAGGUUAUACUGUCUCCUUUUUCCAAUCAGUGAAACUAAUCUCCCCGUGAAGAAGCGGGGAUGAUAUUAUAAGACGAGAAGACCCUAUGGAGCUUUAAACUAAAUAACACCUGCUUUUUGACUUAUCUUUUCAGAAUGAUUAACAAUUAUUUUAGCUUCUUGAUUAUUAGUUUUAGGUUGGGGUGACCACGGAGAAAAAAACAUCCUCCAUAUUGAACGGAACUUAAUUCCUGAGCUGCGAGCUACAACUCAAUGCACCAAUAAAUUGACAUCAAUUGACCCAAUAUUUUGAUCAAUGAACCAAGUUACCCUAGGGAUAACAGCGCAAUCUGCUUCAAGAGCUCCUAUCGACAAGCAGGUUUACGACCUCGAUGUUGGAUCAGGGUAUCCCAGUGGUGCAGCCGCUACUAAAGGUUCGUUUGUUCAACGAUUAAAACCCUACGUG